Molecule: unclassified non-coding RNA, 447 nt
Filed under: Hevea brasiliensis (rubber tree)
Lineage: Eukaryota; Viridiplantae; Streptophyta; Magnoliopsida; Malpighiales; Euphorbiaceae
Source: RNAcentral
AGUACCUAGCUGCUGAAGUAACCUCUCAUCUCCUUUCUCCCUUUAUUGUUGUGUAGUUUUCUAAUCUUCGAUUCUUGCUUAUUAAGUCUUAUACUGUUAAUUCGUUGAAUAUCAGUUAGGAUUUUGUUAACUGUGAGCUGUGCGGAAUUUGGAAUUUUAACUAAUUUUUGUCCUAAAUAUCUGUUUGGUUGUUGAGAAAAUGAUCCAAAAAUCUUGUGUUGCAUGAAUUAUACUUGCUUGAGCUAUCAAAAAAUUGGUCCAAAUAUAUGUUGAAUUAGGGUUUUCAGGGGAAAAAAGAUUGUGACUUGUGAGUUCAUUUAAUCUGAUUCUGCUUUUUGCUAGCUAGCUAAAUGACAUUAGUUACUAUUCUUUUGAUUUUUUCAUAUUCUUUGAAACAAGUUGAAAUCUAUUCUCUAUGUUCUAAUAGCUAUUGUUUUGGACAUUCAG